GACGAACGCUGGCGGCGUGCUUAACACAUGCAAGUCGAACGGAAAGGCCCUGCUUUUGUGGGGUGCUCGAGUGGCGAACGGGUGAGUAACACGUGAGUAACCUGCCCUUGACUUUGGGAUAACUUCAGGAAACUGGGGCUAAUACCGGAUAGGAGCUCCUGCUGCAUGGUGGGGGUUGGAAAGUUUCGGCGGUUGGGGAUGGACUCGCGGCUUAUCAGCUUGUUGGUGGGGUAGUGGCUUACCAAGGCUUUGACGGGUAGCCGGCCUGAGAGGGUGACCGGCCACAUUGGGACUGAGAUACGGCCCAGACUCCUACGGGCGGCAGCAGUGGGGAAUAUUGCACAAUGGGCGGAAGCCUGAUGCAGCAACGCCGCGUGCGGGAGGACGGCCUUCGGGUGGUAAACCGCUUUCGCCUGUGACGAAGCGUGAGUGACGGUAAUGGGGAAAGAAGCACCGGCUAACUACGU
RNAcentral lists this ribosomal RNA (467 nucleotides) under uncultured bacterium. Its description in RNAcentral is "partial 16S ribosomal RNA". It matches the Rfam family "Bacterial small subunit ribosomal RNA", at positions 28 to 506 of the family's 1533-position model. The record is from RNAcentral.